This 62-nucleotide transfer RNA is filed under the name Neoamphitrite affinis. RNAcentral describes it as "tRNA-Tyr". Lineage: Eukaryota; Metazoa; Annelida; Polychaeta; Terebellida; Terebellidae. The record is from RNAcentral.
AACAGGAUGGCCGAAAAUAAGCAGUAGAUUGUAACUCUUCCUAUGAAGAAAUUCUCCUGUUG